AUUGAACGCUGGCGGCAUGCUUUACACAUGCAAGUCGAACGGUAGCGCGGGGCAACCUGGCGACGAGUGGCGAACGGGUGAGUAAAGCAUCGGAACGUGCCCUGGAAUGGGGGAUAACGUAGCGAAAGUUACGCUAAUACCGCAUAUUCUGUGAGCAGGAAAGCAGGGGAUCGCAAGACCUUGCGUUCUGGGAGCGGCCGAUGUCGGAUUAGCUAGUUGGUGGGGUAAAAGCCUACCAAGGCGACGAUCCGUAGCGGGUCUGAGAGGAUGAUCCGCCACACUGGGACUGAGACACGGCCCAGACUCCUACGGGAGGCAGCAGUGGGGAAUUUUGGACAAUGGGCGGAAGCCUGAUCCAGCCAUGCCGCGUGAGUGAAGAAGGCCU
RNAcentral lists this ribosomal RNA (385 nucleotides) under uncultured bacterium. RNAcentral's name for it is "bacterial SSU rRNA". It matches the Rfam family "Bacterial small subunit ribosomal RNA", at positions 29 to 417 of the family's 1533-position model. The record is from RNAcentral.